GUGAGGAAUUUUCCGCAAUGGGCGAAAGCCUGACGGAGCAAUGCCGCGUGAAGGAUGAAGGCCUAUGGGUUAUAAACUUCUUUUCUCAGAAAAGAAUUAUGACGGUAUCUGAGGAAUAAGCAUCGGCUAACUCUGUGCCAGCAGCCGCGGUAAGACAGAGGAUGCAAGCGUUAUCCGGAAUGAUUGGGCGUAAAGCGUCUGUAGGUUGUUUAAAAAGUAUUCUGUCAAAGAUUAGGGCUUAACCCUAGAUAGGCAGAAUAAACUUUUAAGCUAGAGUUUGGUAGAGGCAGAGGGAAUUCCCGGUGGAGCGGUGAAAUGCGUAGAUAUCGGGAGGAACACCAAAGGCGAAGGCACUCUGCUGGGCCAAUACUAACACUGAGAGACGAAAGCGAGGGGAGCAAAUGGGAUUAGAUACCCUAGUAGUCC
RNAcentral lists this ribosomal RNA (426 nucleotides) under uncultured bacterium. RNAcentral describes it as "partial 16S ribosomal RNA". It matches the Rfam family "Bacterial small subunit ribosomal RNA", at positions 354 to 796 of the family's 1533-position model. The record is from RNAcentral.